GACGAACGCUGGCGGCGUGCUUAACACAUGCAAGUCGAACGAAGAGCGAUGGAAGCUUGCUUCUAUCAAUCUUAGUGGCGAACGGGUGAGUAACGCGUAAUCAACCUGCCCUUCAGAGGGGGACAACAGUUGGAAACGACUGCUAAUACCGCAUACGAUCUAACCUCGGCAUCGAGGAUAGAUGAAAGGUGGCCUCUACAUGUAAGCUAUCACUGAAGGAGGGGAUUGCGUCUGAUUAGCUAGUUGGAGGGGUAACGGCCCACCAAGGCGAUGAUCAGUAGCCGGUCUGAGAGGAUGAACGGCCACAUUGGGACUGAGACACGGCCCAGACUCCUACGGGAGGCAGCAGUGGGGAAUCUUCCGCAAUGGACGAAAGUCUGACGGAGCAACGCCGCGUGAGUGAUGACGGCCUUCGGGUUGUAAAGCUCUGUUAAUCGGGACGAAAGGCCUUCUUGCGAAUAGUGAGAAGGAUUGACGGUACCGGAAUAGAAAGCCACG
Molecule: ribosomal RNA, 498 nt
Filed under: Veillonella parvula
Lineage: Bacteria; Bacillati; Bacillota; Negativicutes; Veillonellales; Veillonellaceae
Description: bacterial SSU rRNA
Rfam family: Bacterial small subunit ribosomal RNA
Source: RNAcentral